RNAcentral lists this ribosomal RNA (433 nucleotides) under uncultured bacterium. RNAcentral describes it as "partial 16S ribosomal RNA". It matches the Rfam family "Bacterial small subunit ribosomal RNA", at positions 29 to 507 of the family's 1533-position model. The record is from RNAcentral.
AACGAAUGCUGGCGGCAUGCCUAACACAUGCCAGUCGAACGAGACCUUCGGGUCUAGUGGCGCACGGGUGCGUAACGCGUGGGAACCUGCCCUUAGGUUCGGAAUAACUCCCCGAAAGGGGUGCUAAUACCGGAUAAUGUCUUCGGACCAAAGAUUUAUCGCCUUUGGAUGGGCCCGCGUUGGAUUAGCUAGUUGGUAGGGUAAAAGCCUACCAAGGCGACGAUCCAUAGCUGGUCUGAGAGGAUGAUCAGCCACACUGGGACUGAGACACGGCCCAGACUCCUACGGGAGGCAGCAGUGGGGAAUAUUGGACAAUGGGCGAAAGCCUGAUCCAGCAAUGCCGCGUGAGUGAUGAAGGCCUUAGGGUUGUAAAGCUCUUUUACCCGGGAUGAUAAUGACAGUACCGGGAGAAUAAGCUCCGGCUAACUCCGUG